CCAGUUGAAUUUUGAGGUCUUUGUUGGUAUGUGGCAAAAGAAUUUUUUUGUUGUACUCUCUUAUAAUAUGACUCAUCAAUGCAAAAUUGAGACGGGUCUACACUUCUGGGCAUAGGAGAUGAAGAAGAAGUGGAUUAAAAAUAGGAAUUUUGUGCAUGCAACAUACCUACAUCCACAUAACUAUGAAGGAGCAAAAAUCGAAAGCAAUAUCAAAACAAUGGAACAUAAAAUCAACAAAACAGGACAAAGUUUAACCUAAAAUCCUGGAAGAAGAUGAUGAAAAAGCAACGAAAAAAAAGAGAGCAAAAAAGCAAAGUGAAAGAGAAAAAAUAGAACAGCAAACAGGAGAAGAGAACAAUGGAAGUUCACCUAGAAGGAGAGAGAUUGCAGGGGAGGGAGAUAGAACUGUAGAUGCUUUGGCAUACGCAUAGUUUUGCUAGAGAAAAAAAAAUACACGUGUUAAGCAAAUAGGCACACAAAAGAUAAAGUAAUCAAUACCCAAUGAAA
This 507-nucleotide long non-coding RNA is filed under the name Solanum tuberosum (potato). RNAcentral describes it as "long non-coding RNA (STUB_LNC000652)". The record is from RNAcentral. Lineage: Eukaryota; Viridiplantae; Streptophyta; Magnoliopsida; Solanales; Solanaceae.